RNAcentral lists this ribosomal RNA (461 nucleotides) under uncultured bacterium. Its description in RNAcentral is "partial 16S ribosomal RNA". It matches the Rfam family "Bacterial small subunit ribosomal RNA", at positions 339 to 795 of the family's 1533-position model. The record is from RNAcentral.
CUACGGGCGGCAGCAGUCGAGAAUCUUCCGCAAUGGACGAAAGUCUGACGGAGCGACGCCGCGUGCGGGAUGAAGGCCCUCGGGUUGUAAACCGCUGUCAGUGGGGAGGAAAUGCAUCAGGGUUCUCCCUGGUGUUUGACCGAUCCGCAGAGGAAGCGCAGGCUAAGUUCGUGCCAGCAGCCGCGGUAACACGAACUGCGCGAACGGUAUUCGGAAUCACUGGGCUUAAAGAGUUCGUAGGCGGCCUUUCAAGUCGGGUGUGAAAUCCCUCGGCUCAACCGAGGAAUUGCGCCUGAUACUGUUGGGCUUGAGGGGGAUAGGGGUGAGCGGAACUGAUAGUGGAGCGGUGAAAUGCGUUGAUAUCAUCAGGAACACCGGUGGCGAAGGCGGCUCACUGGAUCUCUUCUGACGCUGAGGAACGAAAGCUGGGGGAGCGAACGGGAUUAGAUACCCUCGUAGUC